Molecule: ribosomal RNA, 424 nt
Filed under: uncultured bacterium
Lineage: Bacteria
Description: bacterial SSU rRNA
Rfam family: Bacterial small subunit ribosomal RNA
Source: RNAcentral
UGGGGAAUAUUGGACAAUGGGCGCAAGCCUGAUCCAGCAAUGCCGCGUGAGUGAUGAAGGCCUUAGGGUUGUAAAGCUCUUUCGCCCGCGACGAUGAUGACGGUAGCGGGAGAAGAAGCCCCGGCUAACUUCGUGCCAGCAGCCGCGGUAAUACGAAGGGGGCGAGCGUUGUUCGGAUUUACUGGGCGUAAAGGGCGCGUAGGCGGCCGAUCAAGUCAGGCGUGAAAGCCCCGGGCUCAACCUGGGAAUGGCGCUUGGGACUGGUUGGCUUGAGUUCGGGAGAGGAGCGUGGAAUUCCCAGUGUAGAGGUGAAAUUCGUAGAUAUUGGGAAGAACACCGGUGGCGAAGGCGGCGCUCUGGACCGAGACUGACGCUGAGGCGCGAAAGCGUGGGGAGCAAACAGGAUUAGAUACCCCCGUAGUCC